This 446-nucleotide ribosomal RNA is filed under the name uncultured bacterium. RNAcentral describes it as "bacterial SSU rRNA". It matches the Rfam family "Bacterial small subunit ribosomal RNA", at positions 329 to 792 of the family's 1533-position model. The record is from RNAcentral.
GGCCAGACUCCUACGGGAGGCAGCAGUGGGGAAUAUUGCACAAUGGGGGAAACCCUGAUGCAGCGACGCCGCGUGAGUGAAGAAGUAUUUCGGUAUGUAAAGCUCUAUCAGCAGGGAAGAAAAUGACGGUACCUGACUAAGAAGCCCCGGCUAACUACGUGCCAGCAGCCGCGGUAAUACGUAGGGGGCAAGCGUUAUCCGGAUUUACUGGGUGUAAAGGGAGCGUAGACGGCGGAACAAGUCAGAAGUGAAAACCCGGGGCUCAACCCUGGGAGUGCUUUUGAAACUGUUUGGCUGGAGUGCAGGAGAGGUAAGCGGAAUUCCUAGUGUAGCGGUGAAAUGCGUAGAUAUUAGGAGGAACACCAGUGGCGAAGGCGGCUUACUGGACUGUAACUGACGUUGAGGCUCGAAAGCGUGGGGAGCAAACAGGAUUAGAUACCCUGGUA